Molecule: ribosomal RNA, 254 nt
Filed under: uncultured bacterium
Lineage: Bacteria
Description: partial 16S ribosomal RNA
Rfam family: Bacterial small subunit ribosomal RNA
Source: RNAcentral
CACGUAGGGGGCGAGCGUUGUCCGGAUUUAUUGGGCGUAAAGAGCUCGUAGGCGGCUUUGUCAGUCGGGUGUGAAACCUCCAGGCUCAACCUGGAGCCGCCACCCGAUACUGCAAUAGCUAGAGUCCGGUAGGGGAGCAUGGAACUCCUGGUGUAGCGGUGAAAUGCGCAGAUAUCAGGAAGAACACCCGUGGCGAAGGCGGUUCUCUGGGACGGUACUGACGCUGAGACGCGAAAGCGUGGGGAGCGAACAGG